CUUGCAUUUUUUUUCAGACUUUAUCUUGUAUUUUCCCUCUCAUUCUCAUGCCAAAAUAAUCCAGAUAUGGGAUGUGGAAUAAGGUGUAGUGCCCCCUUUUUAUAGGUUAUAAAGGGGCACCAUCCAAAUCCAGGGGAUGCCAACUUUUGGCAUCCCAACUUCUCCACAUGGUGAAAUAAAUCACCACAAUAAUAAAUGGUGUGG
This 204-nucleotide long non-coding RNA is filed under the name Elaeis guineensis (African oil palm). Its description in RNAcentral is "long non-coding RNA (EGUI_LNC054850)". Lineage: Eukaryota; Viridiplantae; Streptophyta; Magnoliopsida; Arecales; Arecaceae. The record is from RNAcentral.